UUUUUAUGCCCCCUUUUGAAGAAAAGGGGGCAUAUAGUGAUCGGACUGUCCGUCUGUCUGUCCGUCUUUCCGUCACACUUUGCAUUUAGGUUUCGAAAAAUGCUCAUAACUUCUAUGUCCCUUGAGAUAUAACCUUCAUAUUUGGUAUGCAUGUGUAUAUGGACAAGGCCUUUCCAUACGCACACAAAUUUUUACCCCUGUGACCUUGACCUUGAACUUAGGGUCCGCGUUUAGGUUUCGAAAUCUGCGUUUAGGUUUUGAAAAAUGCUCAUAACUUCUAUGUCCCUUGAGAUAUAACCUUCAUAUUUGGUAUGCAUGUGUAUAUGGACAAGGCCUUUCCAUACGCACACAAAUUUUGACCCCUGUGACCUUGACCUUGAACUUAGGGUCCGCGUUUAGGUUUCGAAAUCUGCGUUUAGGUUUUGAAAAAUGCUCAUAACUUCUAUGUCCCUUGAGAUAUAACCUUCAUAUUUGGUAUGCAUGUGUAUUUGGGCAAGGCCUUUCCAUACGCACACAAAUUUUGACUCCUGUGACCUUGAACUUAGGGUCCGUGUUUAGGUUUCGAAAUCUGCGUUUAGGUUUGGAAAAAGCUCAUAACUUCUAUCAAGUGUUUAUAGGGGGCAUAAGUCAUCCUAUGGUGACAGCUCUUGUUCCUUUUGGACUCCUACUUUUUCCAAGUAAGGAGACCAAGGACUCCUGUUUUAAAAUCCUAGUGAGACCCCUGGACAUUGUUUGGUGUUUUGUACCUUUUUAACAACCCUAUAACUGCGUAACUUCUAUAGGUUUAAACCUUAACCAUGUGAUUAUUAUGUGACGAAAUUGACAAAGAUCAAUAAGUUUUACCUGCUUUUAAGCAGAAUAAUGUCCCUUACUGUGCUGCAAAAAUGAAAGUUGGACUUCACUAUACUUUUCCUACCAUAGAUAUGCAAUUGAAACUAAACCAUUUCCCACUUAGAUACAUAUUUUUACGCAUUUGCAGUCCCUUAAAAAGUUAAAUUUAAUUAAAGACCUUUUAUACUAGAUUCAAGUUUUAAAGGCUUCAUUUCCAACCCUUAGAUACUGAUGAGCAGCAAACAGCAUAAAACCUGAACAGACUGCGAGUUACUCGCAGGCUUUUCUGGUUUGAUGCUGUUUGCACAUAGCCAUUUUCAUUUUGCUUCUGGGUGGGAAAGGAUUCACAUAAAUCUCUUCAUGGUCUUUAUUUUUAUGGUAGUACUAGACGAUGUACAUUAUUCUAUCAAAGUUGGAGAAAAGUCGACUGAAGUAUAGUCCACAAAGUGGAUGCACAGAAAUUAUUAUAGAUGAUGAUUACCUCCUAUGUCUGCACAUUCAUGUAUGAUUUUUGUCAAUUUGAUGCAAUAUGUCACUUGUAUGACAGAGGCUUACAACCAAGUUAGAUGGUUAUGGUUAUGGUUAUCAUAUAUAUAUACAUACAUAUAUAUAUCCUUGCAGUGUUUCAGUGUACGAAAGAUUAUAAAAUUUGCUUUUUGCCCACUAAACUUCCAGAUAAAUAAUCUGGUAGCCCAACAUUUUCAAGAACCUUUAAUAACAUACCCUCUUAUUUUUAUGAAAAAUACUUCUACGAAAUAUGAUAUUCAAAUAACCUUAUUGUAUAUGAUUAUACAAUAAGUAUUGUAAUGAGAAGCAGAAAUACAAAUCAAGGGACUUAAUUAAAAAAUAUUAUAUAAUGUAAGAACGCAGUUAUUUUUUUUGCUCUAUCGUUGAACGGUUGAUAUCUGCGUAUUUUUUUAUGAGCACAAACAUUGAUGUCAAUAACAAGGUACAAAUCCUAAUUUUAAAUACAUACAUGCCUCUUUCUUCUUAGACUUUAAAAACAAGAGGGCCAAGAUGGCCAUAGUUCGCUCACCUGAGAGGAGUCGGUUCAUUCAAUCUUUACCAAACGUCAAACUUGACCUAGAUAUUGUCCAGACCAACAUCCUGGUCAAGUUUCAUCAUUAUUGAACCAAAACGCUGGCCUAUGGAAUGGUUUUGUUUUUGUAAGAUUUGACCUGGUGACCUAUAUUUUGAGUUGAACCCCCCCUUACCAAACAUCAAACUUUGCUUACAAAAAUAAAUAUUAUGACCAAGAUUCAUAAAAUCUGAAACAAAAUUGUGACCUCUAGAGUGUUUACAAGGAUUUUGUAUAAUAUAAUGAAAAUUUGGACAAUCUAAGGGCAAUAGUUAUGGCAUUAAUUAUGUGAUAUAUAUAAAACCAAUCUUUGUACCAAGUUUCAUGAUAAUUGGGCAAAAAAAGUGAUUUCUAGAGUGUUCACAAGCUUUUUUUACUAUAUAAAUAUAAGAAAAAUGCCCCCCCCCUCCGGCAGCCAUGUUAUUCAACUGACCGGAACCAUUUUCGAACUCAACUCUCAUAUCAAGGAAACGAAUGUUCUGACCAAAUUUCAUGAAAAUUGGGCCAAAAAUGUGACUUCUAGAGUGUUCACAUGUUUCACUAAAUACAUUUAGAGAAAAAUGCCCCGCCCACUGGCGGCCAUGUUUUUUCACCGAUCUGGACCAUUUUCGAACUCGUCCGAGAUAUCAACAUGCUACCUCCAAUUCCUUUAUCUAAUAGUUUUUUCCAUAAUAUACUACGAUUAAUGAAAUCAUACGCUUUGCUAAAGUCGAUAAAGGCACAAAAGGUAGACUGCCUAAGUUUUUUCCUAGUUUCAAUUACAUUUGUCAAAGUUGAGAUAUGGUCAACUGUAUUUCUAUGUUUACGGAAACCAUUCUGUUCAUCUGCUAAGACAUUAUUAUUCUCAGCCCAUACUGAUAAUCUAUUGUUUAAUACCGAACAAUAAAGCUUAUACAUGCUUACAGAUAGUGAAAUACCUCUGUAAGAUAAUGGAUCACGUUGAUCAACAGUAUUUGACUUCGGAAUGGGAUUUAUUAUUACUUUACCCCAGUCAGUAGGUAUAGUACCAGUAGUGACACAAACAUUAAAAAGAAUAUGUAAAAAUGACACUGAGCAAGUAUUUCUAAAUAUAUCUACAGGUAUAGAGUCCACACCACAUGCCUUUCCUCUUUUUGCUAUAAAAAUUGCAUUUUUAAUUUCCUCUAUAGAAAUAUUGUGGUUUAAGACACUGUUAUCAGUAGAAUCCAAAUUACUUAAAUCAUUAUCAGACAAAAGUAAGAUUAACCUGAGGCUGUAUCACUAAAAUUUCUAUUUACAUUAAAUCAUUCUUCCAUUUCAGUAAAAUGUAAUUAAUAUCACCAGAAACAGAACCAUCUGCUUGUCUCAAUUUAACAACGGAUCACACAUACCCGCUUUAAUAUGUUUAAAAUACCCUAUGUUAUUUCGCGUAUAUUUAUUAGUUAGAUCCGAUUCUAAAAUAGUAGAAAGAACUUAAUGUUAUAUAAAAUAUAUAUAUAUAUAUAUAUAUAUAUAUAUAUAAACACAUAUAUACAUAAAAUGGGCUAAUAAGUACAUCUUUUUCUUCAACGUCCUGGUAUACAUUGUUAAGGACUUUGAGGCCAUAGGGCCAGUAGUUUGUGGUUAUAGGAUCUUAAUGAAGCCUAAAGUAUUAUAUGUUUCUAAAAUUCGUUUAGAUUUAGAUAACUAAUUUAUUAAAAAUAGUUUAUAAAAAAGUAAAAAGUUAUACCAUUUUUAUUUCUUUUUAGUAUUGAUACACAUUAGAGAAGAUCCAGUUUUGUUAGUCAGUGUUUGUUGUCCAAUACAAUAUUAGCAUGUUUUGAGCAAUGCUAGGCCUCUGGUACUAUCCAAAGUAGCAGACAAAUAAUUGUUUUGAAAAAAGUCAAAUAUUUCCAUUUAAUCUGUUCGAUUUAUAAUUGGUAGAAUGUAAACAUGGUAAAACACACCAAUUUUAUCAAGAUUCCAAUAAAUAAUGAUAUUUUA
This is a long non-coding RNA of Dreissena polymorpha, 3850 nucleotides long. RefSeq lists it as uncharacterized. NCBI's taxonomy places the organism in Eukaryota, Metazoa, Mollusca, Bivalvia, Myida, Dreissenidae. The record is from RefSeq and is a predicted model, not a curated record. The transcript is spliced from 2 exons.